This 497-nucleotide ribosomal RNA is filed under the name uncultured bacterium. RNAcentral's name for it is "partial 16S ribosomal RNA". It matches the Rfam family "Bacterial small subunit ribosomal RNA", at positions 28 to 507 of the family's 1533-position model. The record is from RNAcentral.
GAUGAACGCUGGCGGCGUGCCUAAUACAUGCCAGUCGAGCGAACGGACAAGAAGCUUGCUUCUCUGAUGUUAGCGGCGGACGGGUGAGUAACACGUGGAUAACCUACCUAUAAGACUGGGAUAACUUCGGGAAACCGGAGCUAAUACCGGAUGAUAUUUUGAACCGCAUGGUUCAAAAGUGAAAGACGGUCUUGCUGUCACUUAUAGAUGGAUCCGCGCUGCAUUAGCUAGUUGGUAAGGUAAUGGCUUACCAAGGCAACGAUGCAUAGCCGACCUGAGAGGGUGAUCGGCCACACUGGAACUGAGACACGGUCCAGACUCCUACGGGAGGCAGCAGUAGGGAAUCUUCCGCAAUGGGCGAAAGCCUGACGGAGCAACGCCGCGUGAGUGAUGAAGGUCUUCGGAUCGUAAAACUCUGUUAUUAGGGAAGAACAUAUGUGUAAGUAACUGUGCACAUCUUGACGGUACCUAAUCAGAAAGCCACGGCUAACUACGUG